GAUGAACGCUGGCGGCGUGCCUAAUACAUGCAAGUCGAGCGAACAGACGAGGAGCUUGCGCCUCUGACGUUAGCGGCGGACGGGUGAGUAACACGUGGAUAACCUACCUAUAAGACUGGGAUAACUUCGGGAAACCGGAGCUAAUACCGGAGAAUAUAUUGAACCGCAUGGUUCAAUAGUGAAAGACGGUUUUGCUGUCACUUAUAGAUGGAUCCGCGCCGCAUUAGCUAGUUGGUAAGGUAACGGCUUACCAAGGCGACGAUGCGUAGCCGACCUGAGAGGGUGAUCAGCCACACUGGAACUGAGACACGGUCCAGACUCCUACGGGAGGCAGCAGUAGGGAAUCUUCCGCAAUGGGCGAAAGCCUGACGGAGCAACGCCGCGUGAGUGAUGAAGGUCUUCGGAUCGUAAAACUCUGUUAUUAGGGAAGAACAAAUGUGUAAGUAACUAUGCACGUCUUGACGGUACCUAAUCAGAAAGCCCCGGCUAACUACGUG
RNAcentral lists this ribosomal RNA (497 nucleotides) under uncultured bacterium. Its description in RNAcentral is "partial 16S ribosomal RNA". It matches the Rfam family "Bacterial small subunit ribosomal RNA", at positions 28 to 507 of the family's 1533-position model. The record is from RNAcentral.